GGCCUGGGUCUAGGGACCCAGGGCUCAGGCAUUUUCAGUGUAUGUUUAUGUUUUCCGUGUGUUGUAUUGGUUUGCUCUCCGUCUCUCCAUGUGUCUCUGUGUGAGCUUCCGGAGGUGUGGGUUCGCUGAGGAGACUGCGAACCCGGAAGUGGUCUACUCGAGAGACAGCCGCACCUGCCGCUCGUCGUCCUCUGCCAGCUGCAGCAGAUUACGCUCGUCUAGGAACGGCAUUUAGGACUGCAGCUGAGCUGAGGCCGACGCUGGAUCCUUGAGUCAGAACUCGAAUCGGGAGCGGAGUACGCCUCUAAAGUCACGGUGUGGGAAUUGGAGUUUUUUGGAGUCGCCACCUUUCACUUCUCACGGACAUCUGCACUGUGUGGGAUUCAGGGAGAAUCACCACGGGACCACAGUGCUGGGAUUUUGUAUAUAGUUGUGUGUUUUUCACCUCCUGUAAAUAAAUCCACUGUCCUUCACUUAGAGUCUCGCGUUUGGGCCCUGCUUUCACUGUCACUCCACGGUCUGCCAUCGCAGCCCGUGACA
Long non-coding RNA from Haplochromis burtoni (Burton's mouthbrooder), 540 nucleotides. RefSeq lists it as uncharacterized. The record is from RefSeq and is a predicted model, not a curated record. The transcript has 2 exons. Lineage: Eukaryota; Metazoa; Chordata; Actinopteri; Cichliformes; Cichlidae.